Long non-coding RNA from Biomphalaria glabrata, 681 nucleotides. RefSeq lists it as uncharacterized. NCBI's taxonomy places the organism in Eukaryota, Metazoa, Mollusca, Gastropoda, Planorbidae. The record is from RefSeq and is a predicted model, not a curated record. The transcript has 3 exons.
GGUUGCGUGGUAAAUUGACUUCCGGUAGAUUUUUUUUUUACGUAUAAAGAAACCAUUCUCGAAGAUUUUUACCACCACUUUUACAACAAAUCAUGAAUGGAAACUGAAUUGUUAAAGAAGAUGUUACAGAGGAGCAUACUACUUCCACAAACCUGAUUUGAUUGUCACUAACUUUCAAAUUGAAAGGGAUCUACUACAACUGCUCAUGAAUUUCGAGAUUUUACAGCUAAUAGAGGAACAAAUUUUAUCUGCUUCCACUUAGCCAAACAGCAUGGAAAUAUGCUAUUGUAAUGAGUAGAAGAUAUUUGUCAUUUAGAGUAUCAUGCAACAGCUAAUUAUCAGUCCACACAUUUCAAGAUGAGGAAAAGAACAGUAUAAGCUACAUUCAUUGAUGCAUUAUUUAUACAAAAAUGUAUAGUCAACCCAGUCAUCACUCCAUUUUUUUAUGAAGCCAGUUACAGUUACCAUGAAGGGAUGAAAUUUCAGAUAAUAUUUUGUUUAUUUCAUGAAAUGAGAAUAGGCCUACAUCAGAAAUUGAGAUGGUCAUCUUCAGUAUUUAAUGUUUCAUCUAAAAAUGAUAAAUAUAUUAAUACAUAUUUGAUGUACAAACAAAUGAAAACCAUUCAAACACUUUUUUUUUGUGAAGUAUAGAUGAUUAAACUUGUAAGUGUCUGAACAAUA